GCGUGUCGUCAGCUCGUGUCGUGAGAUGUUGGGUUAAGUCCCGCAACGAGCGCAACCCUCGACCUUAGUUGCCAGCAUUCAGUUGGGCACUCUAAGGUGACUGCCGGCUAAAAGUCGGAGGAAGUGGGAUGACGUCAAAUCAUCAUGCCCCUUAUGACCUGGGCUACACACGUGCUACAAUGGGCGGUACAAAGGGUCGCGAACCCGCGAGGGGGAGCCAAUCCCAAAAAGCCGCUCUCAGUUCGGAUUGCAGGCUGCAACUCGCCUGCAUGAAGCCGGAAUCGCUAGUAAUCGCGGAUCAGCAUGCCGCGGUCGAAUACGUUCCCGGGCCUU
RNAcentral lists this ribosomal RNA (333 nucleotides) under uncultured Anoxybacillus sp. RNAcentral describes it as "bacterial SSU rRNA". It matches the Rfam family "Bacterial small subunit ribosomal RNA", at positions 1047 to 1382 of the family's 1533-position model. Lineage: Bacteria; Bacillati; Bacillota; Bacilli; Caryophanales; Anoxybacillaceae. The record is from RNAcentral.